UCACAAAACUGCGAGAGGCUGACAUGCAGAUCGCAGAUUUUGGGCUAGAAUUAAGAAGCACAAGCUUUUGAAUACGACUUUACGACCUACACUAAAAGAUAACCAAACCACGCUGCCGCUGGCCGCUAGCCCAAUGUUCGCAUGUAAACCGACCUUUACAGCACCGAACAGAGAAGAACGAAGAACAAAAAAUGAAAGUUCUACUAACACGAGGACAACGGUUGGUGAAAUGCAGGAAGUAAUAUCGUUCUCGCAAUACCGCUACAGUCGUCAAGUGCAUGCAAAAUGGCUCGCGGCGAGUUGGGGCCAAGAAAAACUUGGUGAAUAAUAAACAUGUAUUUUUGUUGUU
Plutella xylostella (diamondback moth) is the source of this 349-nucleotide non-coding RNA. NCBI's taxonomy places the organism in Eukaryota, Metazoa, Arthropoda, Insecta, Lepidoptera, Plutellidae. The record is from RefSeq and is a predicted model, not a curated record.